CACAUCAGCGCGCUUUGCUGACGUGGGCACAAAUAGCGCUAACGUGGACGCUAUUUGUUUCCACCUCAGCAAAGCGCGCUAACAUGG
Molecule: non-coding RNA, 87 nt
Organism: Gossypium hirsutum (cotton)
Lineage: Eukaryota; Viridiplantae; Streptophyta; Magnoliopsida; Malvales; Malvaceae
Source: Rfam